GUGGAAUCAAAAUGACCGGUGUAAUCUUUCACCAGAAAUGGACAUCUGAGAAUGGCAAGCUCUGAGACGGGUAGUUGCACAGUCUGUCACAAACUGCGAUGUCAAUACAAUAAAGCGCUAGUGGAACCAAGUUUCUUUUUAGUCCAUCUUGACGUUUGUGUUCUUACUGAAAAAUCAAGAGAAGUGAGAGAAAGCGGCGAAAACUGAAGGAGAUUGAGAAGAUCGUGAGUGCUUUGAGAAACACCGAGGGCGGAGAUGUGUUGUUACAUCUAGACGGACAAACAAGGGACGAUAAAUAUCUCGGACAUCUCGACGACUUUCUGGACAAUAGCUUGAACAAUCUAAUCCCUGACGGUAAGCUGUUCAUUGAGUCAUACACUCGCCAAUGGCUGCACGAAUGGGAACAGUUUGAACAAUUUCUGGAUGUUGUGUUGCUGAAAGUUACCAAAACACCAUUCAUAUCGACAGUUGAUUUUAAGACGAAAGUAUCCUCAGACUUCAAGAUUGAGAAAGCGUCAACGAUUAAUAUCGUGUCAAUUUUGUCAAAUGACGUCCAUCCUCAAAAAGCACUUCCCAAGCUCCGUGGAUUAGAUCAAUAUACGACCCUACUGCAUGAAAACAGAAGGACAGAAUUAAAAGUUUACAUGCCCAACAAAAAAAAUAGACUCAGUUGGAGAAUUUGUUGAUUAUGUUUGGCAGGACCUGCGCUUUAAAGAAAAUUUAAGCUGUUUGUCUAAAGUGAAGGAAGGUGGGUCAUUUUUUCUUGGAAUAAAUGAGCUGCGACAUAACAAAAAACCUUACGAAUCGAAGAUCAUCGAACUGUGGGGUGUAGAUGUGCCUGGGUCUAUAGCAGAACUUAGAUCAUCAGUGUUCAAGAAGAUCAAGGACGAAGCUGCAUUUCUAAGCUUCGAUGGACAUUUGCUGGACGUUCCAGAGGACCUGGUAGAAGUAGAAUUGCACAGGUUCACAGACAAAGACAAUAAGUUUAAGUAUAUUCUUGAAAUCGCAGUUGGUUGUGUUGAGGGCAUCGUGUUCUAUGAAAAGAAGGGACCAGAGACAUAUACAAUUCAAAAUGGUACAAUUUGUAGAAUGGACUUCAAGGAGUGGCUCCGCCGAAUUCAGAUGAUGUCCCUUGAGACCAGGCUUUCUGACAUGUCUUUGGUGUAAGGAUGCACCUACCUGUGGAUCCGUUGAAUUCAGAUGAUGUUCCUUAUUCCUUAAGACCAAUCUUUCUGACAUGUCCUUGGCUUAAGGAUAUACCUACCUGUGGAUCUGUCGAAGUCAGAUGAUGUCCCUUGAGACAAAGCUUUCUGACAUGCCUCUGGUUUAAAGAUAUACUUAACCGUGACUCCGUCGAAUUCAGAUGAUGUUCCUCACGAUCAAUCUUUCUGACAUGUCUUUGGCUUAAGGAUAUACCUACUGGUGGAUCCGUCGGAUUCAGAUGCUGUACCUUAAGACAAAACUUUGUGACAUGUUCUUAGUUUAAGGAUACACCUACCCGCCAACAUGUCUGAUUACCGAACGCACAAGCGGUCAGGGUCCAUGACGACGUCUUUAGGCAGCUAUGGUCAAUCCAGCGGCUCCGUGUCCCUGGGCAUGUACUCGGAUCAGAUCAUCGUCAGUGGAGUGGGGGAACAAGACGUGUCUUCAUCCAGCCCAGCAUCGUUACGACGUAGUCCACACACGGUUGUUCCAGGUACAGACUUCUUGACAGAACAUGCUGUGUGUCUUAUACAGAGUACAUCUCCAGGUAGAUCCUCCCAAGAACUACCUGGCUACUGCCCACCUGUCUUCACGUACGACUUCACAGAUACGAUCCAUGAACAUGACGAUUUUCUGGGAAGGUACAACAGAGGUUACUUUUCACAGUGGAUUGCCACAGAGCUUGCAGGUAAAGGAUUCAUCUAUCCAAAGAUCAUGGUCGAUUACCUGUCAGAUGUUGCUGAAACUGUUCUCUUAGAAAUAGAGAAACUGUGUGAAGAAGGAUACUUUGCCUACAUCGGCCACUCGCUGUUGGCCACCCUAAACAAGACCCUGAACGGAAAGUUUCCUGACAACGUGCUUUGUGACGUGUGUAUUUUCCGAGAUGACAGUCCAGUGUUGGUCCUGACAAUACUUACAGAUGGCCUCAAACUGGACAGAGCCAAAUAUUACAACUCUCAGCUCGCCAGGGCAAUCGUCAGCAUUGUAAGGAAAGACAUUGCGGACUUCUCCGUCAACAACGGUGUUCUGACUUUAGAGCAGUUCCACUCCAGUGAAAGAUUUGCUGAAGACCUUGAGCGGAUUGUCUCAGAAACAUCCAAAGGGGCAACAGCUGGAGCGAUUCAAAUGAAUCCAAGGAAAUGUCACGAUGUGAUACAUCUGUUUUUGAAGCAGGUUAAUUCUUGCUUCUCUCGAUCUGUGAAAAGUGUUGACUCCUAUUACUGUUUUACAGGAGAAAGUUUUGAUUUUUUUUCUGAAAUGUUGGAAGAUCGACGCCGUGUUGGCGUCACGCUGCCCUCAUCUGACUACGCAACUCUGAUAGUGAGUGAGAUUGUGGUCCGACUCAGUGUGGUCUCAAAGACAGUCACUGUCACCUGUGUCCAGGAUUACCUGAAGGAACUGGAAAAUCUGAGGACAUUAAGAAACAACGUGCAGGUACUGAAGUGUCCUUCCACGGCUUGUGAACAGGAGUCUGGCCCUGCUCCCGAUGUAGUUGUGACAACAUCGUGGAGCACCAGCGCCAAAUGGGAAUUCUACGUCAGACACGACUAUGGCCUCGAAGACACUCCAGAAGGAACUGCACGUCCAGGUGACUCAGGAGCAUCUACUACAGACAACAAGGAGGUGACGCAGGCAAGGAAGGUGUUGGCGUCGGCGAUAGUGGAUAAUGCAGGCUGCGCACGUAGUCGUGGAAGGGAUGACGUUGCUCAACUGGAGGUGAUGAUGGAGUUUACGUUGCAACAGUGUGCACAGCGGGCAGCCAUUUUCCUCCAGGACCAUCUCCCUGAUGGAGUGGACGUGCGGGAGUUUGACAGACUGAACAGUUUCAUGGAGGAUUACCUCAUGCAGAGCUUCCGGCAGCGGAAUCUGCAGCUUCUGUUUCGGGAGGACGUCGGUGUUUCUGAUGCAUAUAUUGAAUCGAUAAGAAAGGUUUCCCCCAUCCUUAUCCGUGGCCUCGACUUACAAUCUACGCCUCUGAUGGACCGCCUCAUCAGCAGUGACGUCAUGUCUGAAGCAGGAAGAGAGAGCAUCUUGGCACGCCCAACCAACCAUUCGAGAAACAAAGCCUUCGUUACCUACCUGCGAGGUAACUUCACCCACGAAACAUUCAAGGACCAAUUCCUCCAAGUGCUUUCUGAACAAAACCAGACCCUGGCUAAGGAAGUGGGGGACGAGCUGGAGAGGCUGACCGUGUCUAGUAGACGGAGAACAAAGUGUCCCUUCUGUAAGAUGAAGGAGACGGUCAACAUCAGGCAACUGGCAGAUUCUCUGUAUCAGAUGAACGAAAUUUCUCAAUCUCUACAGCAGGAUUUGUCGGCCUCGUAUCUCCCAGACACAGUGAGAUGGUCGGAACUGUUCAAGCAAGUCACAAGCAUGAAAACUAUAAUGAAAGCGCUUGAAGUUAAGAAUGAACGUCUUCACCGAGAAUUCAUCACUCACGAACGAGGCCUUUCCAAGAGUCGUUUUUGCCUGGAAUGUACAUGUGAUCAUUCUGAGCAGCUUGGUGCUGUCGCGGGGUCGGACACCAAGAGUGAUGUGGCCAAUAUGUCAGAUUUCCACGACUGACGGACAGCCUGAUCAACUCAACACUGAAAAACGUUCCCAUAUUUCCACAACUAACCGUCUGAUGUCCUCAACAAUGUUAACCGUUCCCAUAUUUCCACGACUGACAGUCUGAUGUGUUCAACAAUCUAAAACGUUCCCAGAUUUCCAAGACUGACAGUCUGAUGCGUUCAACAAGGUUAACCGUUCCCAUAUUUCCACGACUGACAGUCUGAUGUGUUCAACAAUCUAAAACGUUCCCAUAUUUCCACGACUGAUAGACAGUCUGAUGUGUUCAACAAUCUAAAACGUUCCCAGAUUUCCACGACUGAUAGACAGUCUGAUGUGUUCAACAAUCUAAAACGUUCCCAGAUUUCCACGACUGAUAGACAGUCUGAUGUGCUCAACAAUCUAAAACGUUCCCAGAUUUCCACGACUGAUAGACAGUCUGAUGUGUUCAACAAUGUUAACCGUUCCCAUAUUUCCACGACUGACAGGCAGUCUGAUGUGUUCAACAAUGUUAACCGUUCCCAUAUUUCCACGACUGACAGGCAGUCUGAUGUGCUCAACAAUGAAAAGCGUUGUCUUUGAGGAAAAUAAAAUGACGUACUUGUAAAGGAAA
Molecule: unclassified non-coding RNA, 4366 nt
Filed under: Haliotis rubra (blacklip abalone)
Lineage: Eukaryota; Metazoa; Mollusca; Gastropoda; Lepetellida; Haliotidae
Description: uncharacterized LOC124256779, transcript variant X4
Source: RNAcentral